UACGUAGGGUGCGAGCGUUAAUCGGCUUUACUGGGCGUAAAGCGUGCGUAGGUGGUCACGUCAGUCGGAUGUGAAAGCCCCGGGCUCAACCUGGGAAUGCCAUUCGAUACUUCGUGACUAGAAUUCGGUAGAGGGAGGCGGAACUCCAGGUGUAGCGGUGAAAUGCGUAGAUAUCUGGAAGAACACCGAUGGCGAAGGCAACCUCCUGGGCCUGAAUUGACACUGAGGCACGAAAGCGUGGGGAGCAAACAGG
Molecule: ribosomal RNA, 253 nt
Filed under: uncultured bacterium
Lineage: Bacteria
Description: partial 16S ribosomal RNA
Rfam family: Bacterial small subunit ribosomal RNA
Source: RNAcentral